Molecule: long non-coding RNA, 4420 nt
Organism: Cavia porcellus (domestic guinea pig)
Lineage: Eukaryota; Metazoa; Chordata; Mammalia; Rodentia; Caviidae
Exons: 3
Source: RefSeq, a predicted model, not a curated record
AUAGGCUUUGUCCUCAAAAAAGCAUCCUGGCUGAUGUUUGUGGCAUUAAAGACCUGGAACGGUUGAGGCUAAAGGGCAGGGAGAGUUAGGUGCGGCCGGCUGCAUCGCUGAGAAAUCACAAACGCGCACAGUUUGUACGGGAACUUUGUAGGCUCGUGGAGCCUGGCCAGAGGCGACGGGGGGAGGGGGGGUGGCACAUCCAGAAUUGCAAGGAUUUACUGCUUCCAAAGAGACAUAAAUUGAUAGAAGUUGAAAGAGAUAUAAAAGUACGGAGCAGACAAGUUAUCUUUUGUGAACCAUGACUAUUUUUAGUAGCCAUUUUUAUCAAUGGGCCAAUCUAAACAGGGUUGAAAUAUUAACUGUGGCUCCACCUCAAGUUACAAUAGGGUCUUGUACUUCUUUUUAUAGCUGUGAAAACUGGAAAUCAUUCUUGGCUCUGUGCAUGUCUGAUCUCAUUGAGUGAAAUUCUUUUUAAAAUAGUACGAAGGUUGAGUUUAUUAGGCCAGUAAAAAUACACCAUAUUACCAGGUUAAAAUUGCUGUUAUUAGGGAAGCAUGACAACGAAAGAAACUGGUGGCAUUUUAAUUAAGAAUAAUACCGGAAAAUGAUCGCGGUACUUCCGAAUAGCAUGCUACAUUAUAAUGCACAAAUAUUUCAUCAACGAUUUCAUCUGACCUUCACAGUACUGCUGUGAGGCCAGCAUAGACAGACUGUUCUAAUUUUGUGAAUAAGGGGUCCUGCCUAUACUUGAGGAAAUGAAAUAAUCGUGCAAAGUAGUAAGAGGUUGAGAAUUCUGACAGAAGCAGUCAUCCGUACCAUAUAGAGUAAGAUUUUAAACUGUAUUUUUUUUUAGCUCUCUACUUACCCACUCGGAUAAGAGUUUGAACAGAUACCAACUUCUGGCUACCUGUGGUUACCUUAAAUAUAUGACCACUUGUUCUCAAAGUGAAUUUGGGGGACAUCACUAAGAAUUGUUAGAAACUCCAAAUCUCAAAUGCCACUGCUGGGAAAUAAGCACGUAGUGUCCAGCAAUCUGUUUUAACAAGCCUUCCAAAGGAUUCUAGGAGACCUUCAAGGUUGAACUCCCACUGGAGAAAAGCCUUGAUUUAUUUUUUUUAUAACCACAAAGCCAUCAAGUCCCUAUGACAUAAAUAUCUUAAAACUGAAUAAAUACUGGCCAAAAUAUAUUUCAAAAUAUAUAUCUAGAAGUAAAAUUGAGAUUGAAGAAUGCAAUGUUAUAAUUAAAAUAGGGGCCUUGUGGCUUGGUUACAGACAUAAAGUAUUAUCAAAUUUUAAUUUGUUUCUCCUAAAGGAGACAGGAAAGCUCUAGGAGGAGAUUUUGGAUGUGAUCCCAAGCUUUCCCACACAAAGAAAGAUGUAAACAAGGAUAACAUUCCAGUACCACAUCAGUUUCCACACCAGCAAACAUCCGCUGUGGUUUAAUAUGAAAGGAUUAAGUAUUAAGGGUAAGAUUAAGGAUGAGGUAGACUGGGAGAAAUGGAGUCUCGAACUAGAUACAUCCAUGGAAUGAGAGUCAAACCCAGCUGGCCUGAUAAACGUUCAGCCAGAAGACAGUGUCUGAAGAAUAUGGAACUGGCAGCAAGCCAGAAAAUCAGCUAGCAGCAGGCUGGUUGAACAGAGAAUGUGAGCAUUGUAAACCAAUGGACAGCUGGAACAAAGCCUUGGGAAAUCCAAGAGCAAGCAAAAACGAAGUCAUGGCAAGCAUUGAGAAAAUACGUUGCAUGUAACAAGGCCACAGCGUCAUUGCUGGGCUUUUCCAAGUCCAAAAUCAGGGCCUUGAGCAGAUAAGCUAGAUAAUUUAGGGGACUUAGGAGAUGAUUAUCCAAAGGCUGAUCUAAGGUACUGUACUAGUUAUUUUUUUGUUGUUGUUGUUGUUGCUGAGAUAAAGCACCCAAUGCCCAAAGUUAAAGGGGAAAGGGUUUAUUUAGCUCACAGUUUUUAGAGGUUUCAGUCUGUAAUCAGCUGGCUCCAAGGCAGGGUGGCACAUGUCAGAGGGGCAACCAUUCAAGGCAGCUAAAGCAAAAGCGAUGGAGGGCAGGGGGAUAAUAAGCCUCUUUCUGUCACUUAUGUUGUGUGGUGGCUACUUGCCCUAGGACCACGAAUCAAUCACAAACUCCUUAUUCAGCCACUUCUGAAAAGCCCGUGCCCCACUCUCCCCAUGACUGCAUGAGGCUUUGGGGGACAUCUAGAUACAAACAAAUAACAGGACAAAGUGACACUUGAAAAAGUAAUAGCUUAAUACCUAGAAAUGGGACUGAAUUUCACACUGAGCAUAGUGGCCUUAUGCUGAGGCUCCUGAAUCUUAGUACAGAACUCUAAUUCCCAUCUAGUGUGGCUGGGCUCGAUUCCAGAGCCCAGGUUUGAAAGUCAAAGGGCAACCAACAGCCAACAGUCAGUGGGUUAAAGAGGGCCAGCAAGAUGGGUAGGUCCAAAAAGUAGAACUAAGGCAUUUGCAGACUACCUCUUUCAGUUCUGGACUGGUAGAAGCAUUUGGGGGAAAUUCUAAUUAACUAAAGGAGUUAGCAAAUUGAAAGAAUCCAAAGAAAAGGCUGACCUUUCCAAAUGGCUGACUCAGUCAUAGGGUGGGGGAGGUUCCUACAGUGGCUUUUAUCUGCAGCUUUCAAAAAUGUUUAUGAAUGCUGCCAUGACAAGCUUCCUAUUUAUAGAGAGGUUAAAAGGUUUGCCCCCAGGUAACCCAUUUUGUCACACACAUAAAAUGUAAAAGCAGGACAAAAAUUAAGGCAAAUCUAAUUUGCUAAGUGUUAACCCUUCAUCCAGGCAUAAAAGUCAUCAAUAAUGUUAUACUUACCAUGUCAAAGUCAGCAGCCAUGACAUACUACCAAACCACCAGUGACAUUUGCUCAUCUUUCAGCUAAUCCUAUUAAAAUUAUGUUUCCUGUCUAGCACAUGGGUCCCCUGAGGACUGGGAAUGCUCUGCAGCAGAUGUUCUUUCCUGCCUAAAGGGACAAUGCUGAGUGCAGAAAACUUUCUGAUAACCCCACCCAAGCCUACCUGGGACCAGAGACAUACAUACAUACUGUCAGUGAAACCAACAUUUUCCAACUGGCUCAGGCUUGGAUUCUCAUGGACCCUCCUGCAUGGUCUGGACUCCAGUAGUCUGUCUUCUGCUCUGCCCUUCCUUUAUGUGGCCAAAUCAGCUGUCCUGAGUAUCCACAGAAGAGACACAAAGGACAAACUAUUCUUCAAGAAGAAGAAAAAGGAAUUUGGAAAUAUUUAGUUGGUUGCAUAAGAGAAAGCAUAAGAAUCUGAAAAAUAGAAGAGAGUUGUGAGAAGGUAAGGCGCUCUGGUCACUGAACGGGACAGCAAAUUCAUGGGCAGUGGGACGUUUCCUGUGUCAGAAACACUUGGGAAGUUCAAAAAUAACCCUGAACUGUCAGCAAUUGUUUGCAACCAACAAUGAGCAUAUAUAAGAGAUGUUUUUAAGAGAUGUUUUUUAAGGAGGGAGAGGAAUAGUAUCUGAUGUGAAACAAAGUGGGCCUGAGAGAGGGGCAGCAGAUUCAGGGGCUGAAACCAAGUUUGAAACAAGCAAUAGCAAUGAGUCAGACAAAUACCGCCUAUUCCACAGCUAAAACAAAAGUAACCUGUAUAUCUGCAAAGACUCUUGAGAGUGACUUUCUACCCCUGGCUGGAGGUUUGAACUAAAUUGACUCUCAAAAGCCCGAGGACACAGGGAAAUCUGGGUUGUGGUAAUAUCAUCAAACCUGGCUGCAGUUUGCUUGGCUGCAUCAGAUAUUGACAUCUGCCAACAUGCUCAUCAUUUUAGUGUCUGUCUAGAUCAGAGCUUCCUAUCUUCAGCCCUCUUGUCAUUUGGGGGCAAAUAAUUCAUUGUUGUGGAAGAAAGGGAAAGUCUAGGGUAUUGUACAAUGUUUAGCAGCCUCUCUGACCUCUACCCACUAGAGGCCAAUAGCCUUAGCACAACAUCACCAAGCUGUGGAAAUCAAGUGUCUUGAGAUAUUGCUAGGCAUCCCCUGGGAGACAAAAAUUGGUUCCCCUUUCCCUGUUGGGAACUUAUGUAUGUAUAGGUGAAGAUCUUUAUUCAACACAUAUUCAUAUCCUGUGUUCUUGCAUAAAAUAUGCAUUUAUUCCCCCUCCAAUAGCAAUAGCACUGUUUUGUAAACAUGUGUCCCAAAGCUGUUUUGUAUCAUUUAACUGUCACACUAAGUCAUAUAAGCUCUGACCUUCUGGGGACUGACCAAGAGGGAUGCCACAGCAAGUUCUCAGUUCUCUAAGAAUUGUUAUGAAUAUAUUUAUGUAAUUACAGUAGAUACAGUGUUCUAUAGCCUACAUUUACAAACAUAAUAAUAGCACUACCAUUAAUAAAAUACUGACAUUUUAACCUUACAUACAAAUCAGAAUUAAACAUUGGCUAUACAUCUGG